This 27-nucleotide non-coding RNA is filed under the name Bombyx mori (domestic silkworm). The record is from RNAcentral. Lineage: Eukaryota; Metazoa; Arthropoda; Insecta; Lepidoptera; Bombycidae.
UGCCUGGUUUCUGGAUGCCCGGUGCUC